This 20-nucleotide small nuclear RNA is filed under the name Arabidopsis thaliana (thale cress). RNAcentral describes it as "snRNA_12994". The record is from RNAcentral. Lineage: Eukaryota; Viridiplantae; Streptophyta; Magnoliopsida; Brassicales; Brassicaceae.
CCCAACUGCGCGCUAACCUA